AUCUCAGGAAUGCUGGUUGGCGCGGGCUGCUGCCAAGCGCCUCCCCUGGCUCCGUUGCACCUUUUUUUUUUUUUUCUUUUCUUUCUUUUUUUUUGGUCCUGGAUCCGUCAAGAAAACAAUCUCCCAUUUUUUCCACUUUAAAUAACUACUUCUAUUGGGGAGGGCUCUUUCUGGCGUGUUGGUGGUGAAAGUGGUGGAAGGGGCGAGGGGGGCGAGUUCAGAACUUUGCCUGCACUGGGAGGGUGGGAGGACCUGGGAGGGAGGAACAAAAGUGGUUUUGUUUGGUGAUGCCGAGUUGACCGGGCAGCCCUGGAAGCCCUCACCCGGGAAGGCAGCGAGCUGUUUGCUUGUUUACAGAGAAGGUGAGAGUCAAGUUAUCUACUGAGAGGUGAACGGGGAGGGGGAGUGCGUCUGUGAGCCAGGACUAUUUGUGGAUUUCAUAGAGGCAUGCUCGAAUCAAGUCCCAAAGCUUUGGCAUGGUGUUUAUUAGCCAAGUUAAGUGUAUUGCAAAUUAAUACCCGCACUGGCAUUUAUGAAUGAGAAGAGGAAAAAAAAAAUCAACUUCCCCCACUGUCUGGCAGAUUCCCAGGCAGAGGUCUUCCCCCUUCCGCCCCCCUCCCUUUUUUGGUAUGUCGUACUUGUUUGUUUUUGGAGGUUCCCACUUUAGUUCCAGCCCACUGCCUGGGUUGGAAGUCCGAGAGGAAACGAACGCAGGGAAUUCUCCGGGAGGCUGACUUCUACUUCCUCACGGAUGCGGGAGACUGGAUUUUUGCUGGUCUGAGGACGAAGAACAAAGGAGGAUUCCGGCUGUUGGGCUGAUUAUGUGAAAUAAGACAUAAGACACGUUUAAUGCUCAGCAGGAUGCUUGGGACAUAAUAGCUUUCUCCGUGCCAUGGGAAGCAUGGCUCCUAGUAGCUUUGGUUUCUCAUCUCAUCCUAGCAGCCCUUUUACUAGCAAAGAAAGAAGAUUUCUUCCGCUUUGGCUCCAGCCUGUAAACAAUCUCAAGAAUGACUUGCAUUGGAUCAACAGAGGUUGCAUACUCCUUCCCAAACCAAACACCAAGCCAGGAAGAUGGGGUAAUAUCCCAAUGUAUUAGCUCAUAGAGUACAAACUUAAAUUUAUUUCUUAACGUGCAUGCCUUUUAAUAGAGAAAGUUAUAAACACUUGGGUACUGUCUUAGAAAAAGCAGAACUCUCUAAAGAGGGUGAUUGGAGGCUGACACAGACAGACAUCCUGUUGUAUGAAAAAGUCCUGGAGGAAUGCACUAUGCUAACAGCUUGCUUAAUGCUUUUGCUUCCUGUAGAGUGGCCUGGGGGUGGGAACUCAGAGCAGACUUAUAAAUUGAUUUCUGUAGUGGAGGAACUUCUCUUAAAAUCUCUGCUGGGGUUAUUUAAGACAUUGAACUAUUGGGGCGCCUGGGUGACUCAGUCGUUUAAGCAUCCAACUCUUGAUUUUGGCUCAGGUCAUGAUCUCAGGGUCCUGGGAUUGAGCCCCGCGUUGGGCUCCACGCUCAGCAGGGAGUCUGCUUGAAGAUUCUCUCCCUCUGCCCCUCCCCCGCCUCUCUCCCUCAAAUAAAUAAAUACAUCUUAAAAAAAAAAAGAAAAAAGACAUUGAACAGUUUGCUCUUGGCUCCAGUACUUCAGUGUCCACUCACCGUUACAUUCGUGGGUGGACAUGGUAUUAUAUUAGAGAUCUGGAGAGCUCAUGACUGGGUGCAGAUCCAGUGUUUUGACUUUUUAUGCCAACAUCAGCAUUUCCCCACUUGUUUGACAUUUCUCCUGUCAGUUGGGCCCUUGAUUCAAGAUUACCUUGAUUACUUUCAGGUCUUUUUAGUCAUGAAUUUUUCUUAACUAGUUUUACCUCAAAAUGGUGUCUCUUACCUGAUGUAGUUUUCGGAAUAAAUAGGCAAGGUUUGGUGGGGUCUGGAGCCCACAGCCAAGAAAGAAUUCUUGAGAUGUCUUUGGUGCAAAAUGGUGGUUUUAUUAAAGCACAAGGACAGGACCUGUGGGCAGAAGGAGCUGCUGCUGCCCCCGCUGCCCCUGCUGCCCCCACUGCCUCCGCUGUCUUCUGCUCCCCUUUGCUGCCCCGGGAUUAUGAGGAAUAACUGAUUAUAUACUUUGGGGUUGGAGGAAUUAAAGAUAAAGGAAGUUCCAAAAGGAUUUUCAUGUGCUAAAGGAGACACAGGAUAUAGGAGGCCUUGCUAUUGUCAAACUAAGGUGGUUUUUCCCUCUAGCAGGGCAUUAAUAUUAAGACAUUAUACUCUGCCUGCCUCAAGUAUUUGUCAAUGGGCUGCAGGUUAUAUGGACAUUUAAUUUUAUCUACACUUCCUUCUGCCUUUGUUUCCCACAUCAUUACCCACUACUCUCUCCAGCACUAAAUUCUUUCCUCUUUUACCUCCCUAAGAAACUAACUCCAUCCAAUACUCCAACUUCUAUUUACAUCUUCGAUUACCCCUCUCCACUGCAUCUUUCUCUACACAUCUACCUACAGGACUAUCCCCUUGAGAUAUCAUCAAAAGAGAGAAUAUAUGUGGAAGGACUUUAUGAUUUUGAAGUGGAAUAAAAAUAUGGAAUAAUAUUGUUAUCCUAUCUUCACAAUCAUCUCAAAAAAUUACCAAUGUAAUGCAUUUUUUGAGUUUACUUUCUCAGCAUUCAGCUCAUUACUUAAUGUCUUAAAAUCUGAUGUCUCCUAACAUAUUUUGGGGAGGGGGCCCAUAUCUUUGUUGACCCUUCUUCCAGCACAUGGCACAUCUGAUUUUGCCCUUCUCUUUUGGUGUCUGCAAUUCACUACCUUGAUUCACCUUCUCUCUCUCUGACUACUCUUCUCUCUCCUUUAAUGCCCAUCUGUUUCCUUCUACCUCUGAAUGUGAGUGGUCUCCAUCAUUCUGUCCUGGCUCCUUCUCGUCCCUCCCCCCUCUCAUUCUCAUAAAUACUUCUUGAAACAAAUCCCAGAUCUCUCUCUUCCCUUCAACAUGUUAAAUGCCCACUGAUAAUAAUAUCUCAUUAGCCCCCAAACAUAAGGUAUAUAAAAUAAACUCUCAUUCUAUCCUAAAUAUCUUUCACCCUAUCUCAGCCAACAGUGUUACUUUUCUACCCAGUCACCAAGGCUUGAAACCUUGGUUCUCUCUUUGAUUCCUUGCUCUCUUUUCCCUGAAUCCAAUUUAAGCUAUAUUUUUAAGAACACAUUGUUCUGUUCACCUACCUUCUGUUCACUCUGUCUCUCCCUUCUGCCUUCUCUUUCUUCAGGCAGUGAUGGUUCAGGCGGCUGGAACAGCACACAGUCUAUUAUCUUGCUUUCAGUAAGGUUGUCCAGAAGUAUUUUGUGGCCAUACUUCUUUUCUCUUCCUCAUUAUUGAUUCUUUCCCUUUUCUGAACUGAAUAAUCAUUCAAAUUUUAUUCAUAAAGAUCAUUAAAUCUUCUUCUACAUAUCAAAUACCUUUCUCAAAACCUAAAUAUACACUAACAUGUUUAGAACAGCCUAUAUAGCAUGUCUAGUUAAGUCACGGUCAGGUGUAAGCUGACUGUUGUCUAUAAGCAUUGACAAGAAAAAAUACAUUUCAUGGCUAUGUAUUUUGUUAAUAUAAUUUGCAUCUUCAAGUUAGUAGCUUCAUCUUAGGAUAACAUUUCAACCAUAUUUGAUUUAGAAAGCUAAAGUUUUGAUGAGCUAACGAAUGUACAUUAAACAUAUUACUGAAGUUUUGAUACAUUUCCAGCAAUCAUCAGCAUAUAAUUCCAGUUUAGGUGUAAACUCAUCAGAAACCUCACCUCAAUCUCUAGGACUCAUGUCGUCUUGCUGUAUUUCUGCAGAUCCUAUUAAUAAAGAAUGAUUAAGGACAGCUUUAUUUUUCCCAGUUUCAAUAUUAAAGAUGUAUGUUGUAAUAGUAACAUACU
Molecule: RNA transcript, 3890 nt
Organism: Mirounga angustirostris (Northern elephant seal)
Lineage: Eukaryota; Metazoa; Chordata; Mammalia; Carnivora; Phocidae
Exons: 3
Source: RefSeq, a predicted model, not a curated record